AAUGAACGCUGGCGGCAGGCCUAACACAUGCAAGUCGAACGGAUCCUUCGGGAUUAGUGGCGGACGGGUGAGUAACGCGUGGGAACAUACCCUUUGGUACGGAAUAGCCUCGGGAAACUGGGAGUAAUACCGUAUGUGGUCGAGAGACGAAAGAUUUAUCGCCAAAGAAUUGGCCCGCGUUGGAUUGGGUAGUUGGUGGGGUAAUGGCCUACCAAGCCGACGAUCCAUAGCUGGUUUGAGAGGAUGAUCAGCCACACUGGGACUGAGACACGGCCCAGACUCCUACGGGAGGCAGCAGUGGGGAAUCUUAGACAAUGGGGGAAACCCUGAUCUAGCCAUGCCGCGUGAUCGAUGAAGGCCUUAGGGUUGUAAAGAUCUUUCAGGUGGGAAGAUAAUGACUGUACCACCAGAAGAAGCCCCAGCUAACUCCGUGCCAGCCGCCGCGGUAA
RNAcentral lists this ribosomal RNA (449 nucleotides) under uncultured bacterium. RNAcentral describes it as "partial 16S ribosomal RNA". It matches the Rfam family "Bacterial small subunit ribosomal RNA", at positions 29 to 523 of the family's 1533-position model. The record is from RNAcentral.